Molecule: long non-coding RNA, 735 nt
Filed under: Ananas comosus (pineapple)
Lineage: Eukaryota; Viridiplantae; Streptophyta; Magnoliopsida; Poales; Bromeliaceae
Description: long non-coding RNA (ACOM_LNC010835)
Source: RNAcentral
AUACUAUGCUUGUUGGGAAUCCGAUACUCGCCCCAGCACCGGAUUUUGAGAAUCCACAAUCCGUUCCGAUACCGACUGCUGUGGAUCCGGUGCCGAUUGUUGGGAUUCCGCAACGGAAACGUCAAAUCGAAUUUUUACCAUAAACCCGUCUCCUAAGCAAAAGCUAAUACAAUCACAAAAUAGAGAAAAACCAAAACAGAAAAUAUGCGGGUAAAAUAAAAUUUAUUAAAUAAAAGAAGAUUGCACCUGACUCCUCUUCUGCAACAGAAUAGCUACAAUCCGAGCCCUCUUUCUGAAUCUCUUCUACCAUUCUCUCGUCUUUUAUAAAUCUAAAGACAACUCUCUUUCUCUCUCACAUGCACCAGUGCACUAGAUGCAUGCAACCAGCCAACUCUCUCUCUGGUACUACCCACCAAAGAGCUUCAACUUUUUGGCAGUACUCCCUCUCCAAAAGCAUCCCAAAGGGUGCUUUUGUAAUGCAUCCUCUAAAACGUACGCGAAUUCUAGUCCAAUUAGAAUUCCUACUCCAAUAAAUAUUUAAAUUUAUAUAUCAUUUAUCUCCACUAGAUUUAAAUAUUUAUUCUAAUCUAGUUAGAUUCAUACUCUAAUUAAUAUUUAAAUCUUAAUUUAUCUACAAUAUAUUUAAAUAUUAAACCUAAUCCAACUAGAAUUAAUCUACAAAUUUAACCAAAUCCUAACAAUGCUAUUGCUUCUUCUUCGUAUAUAUUCAACUAU